UACGGAGGGAGCUAGCGUUAUUCGGAAUUACUGGGCGUAAAGCGCACGUAGGCGGCUUUGUAAGUUAGAGGUGAAAGCCUGGAGCUCAACUCCAGAAUUGCCUUUAAGACUGCAUCGCUUGAAUCCAGGAGAGGUGAGUGGAAUUCCGAGUGUAGAGGUGAAAUUCGUAGAUAUUCGCAAGAACACCAGUGGCGAAGGCGGCUCACUGGCCCGAUACUGACGCUGAGGCACGAAAGCGUGGGGAGCAAACAGG
RNAcentral lists this ribosomal RNA (253 nucleotides) under uncultured bacterium. Its description in RNAcentral is "partial 16S ribosomal RNA". It matches the Rfam family "Bacterial small subunit ribosomal RNA", at positions 524 to 776 of the family's 1533-position model. The record is from RNAcentral.